CUUGGCCGUAAGUCCGCGNUAGACAGAGGGGGCGAGCGUUGUCCGGAGUCACUGGGCGUAAAGCGCGCGCAGGCGGCAACCUCAGUGUCGUGUGAAAGCCCCCGGCUCAACCGGGGGAGGCCAUGGCAAACUGGGUCGCUCGAGCUGCGGAGAGGCCCCUCGAAUUGCCGGUGUAGCGGUGAAAUGCGUAGAGAUCGGCAGGAAGACCAAGGGGGAAGCCAGGGGGCUGGCCGCAGGCUGACGCUGAGGCGCGACAGCGUGGGGAGCAAACCGGAUUAGAUACCCCUGUAGUCCCAGCCCUAAACGAUGGGCGCUAGGUGUUGGGGAUUAACCCUCGGCGCCGAAGCUAACGCAUUAAGCGCCCCGCCUGGGGAGUACGCACGCAAGUGUGAAACUCAAAGGAAUUGACGGGGGCCCGCACAAGCGGUGGAGCAUGUGGUUUAAUUCGAUGCAACGCGAAGAACCUUACCAGGGCUUGACAUGCCGCGAACCCUGCGGAAACGUGGGGGUGCCUUCGGGAGCGCGGACACAGGUUGUGCAUGGCUGUCGUCAGCUCGUGUCGUGAGA
RNAcentral lists this ribosomal RNA (567 nucleotides) under uncultured Chloroflexota bacterium. RNAcentral's name for it is "bacterial SSU rRNA". It matches the Rfam family "Bacterial small subunit ribosomal RNA", at positions 503 to 1072 of the family's 1533-position model. Lineage: Bacteria; Bacillati; Chloroflexota. The record is from RNAcentral.